GCCAUGCUUUGCUAGGUUUCCAGCUUCCUGGAAUGCUGUGGAAAAUUUUCUUGUUUGUGUUAACAAGCAAUACAGUUAAUCAGAUAGGUAGUUACAGGGAGAAGGAUGGUGGUUGGCUGCAUCUUAUAAACCCCUGCAACAUAAUUGGCUUUCUUGCUACAUGUUGUGUGCUCUUGCUGUGUAGUCAUAAAAUCAGUUAGGAACUACAUGGAGCAGGUUUCAGAACAGCAUUUCCUAUACUGCUUGUUUUCUUUUCAGCUAGUAGCCAGCAGAUUAAGUUUUGGAAGGAAAAAAGCAAAAAGCAGGGAAUUUUUAAACAACAGUUUUUAAAAGGAAAUAGCCAAUAAUUUCUCAAGCUUUGAAGUUUCAUUUUAAUAAUUUAGCACUUGGGCACAUGGGCUCUUAAUCAUUAGAAGCUAGCAUUUGCCAAAAAGCAUGUUGUGAAUAGUGACAGGAAACAAUUCCAAGAUGGAAUUACUAUGGAAACAUCCAUAACUGACUGAAUGAAUAAUGAUCUUUUGUCAACCACUUCUUAGUAUAGUUCUUUUUACCUUUCUCUAGCUCAGUGUUUUAAACAGAUGUAUUUUCAAUGUCUUCUUAAGUUUAUUGUGGUAGUUUCAUUAGUCAUAUGCCCAUCUGCCCUAUUUUUGUAACUUUUUUUUUUUUUUUAAACUCAAACUUUGUCUAAAAGACUGGAAAAAAAAUAUGGAUUGAAAACUGCUUUGAAUGGAAAAAUUAAAUUAUUAUGUGAAUGUUUGACUAAUGAGAGGAAUUUUCCCUGGCAUGAAAUGGGGAAGUAAAGAAGGCAGGCCCAGGCUCUGCUCAGUGGUGUGUAGUGAUGAUGUUAAGAGGCAAUAGGCACAAAUACAAGUAUAAAAAUAUUUGAUUUGUUGCUUUCAUGUUUUAAUGUGAUGAAUCAUUUUGUUCAUAUAUAAAUGUUAGCUGUCUUCCAGAGGGAAGUCACUGUUCUGGCUGGGAGGGUCUGUGACCACAAAACAGUGAGUUGUUUUGUAAGAAAAAGCAGAAUAGAAGCUGGUGGUGCUUUUCCAUUUCCACUUUUCACGUGUUGUGGAUCAGUGGCUACCUGUAAACAGGCCAGAGAACGUAGGCUUGAGACCUUGGAAAUAUGAAAGCUUGUUUUGGUGUUACUGACAUGAUUCACCAGGAGGUAAUAAGAGUUGGUGUGAAGUUUGGAACAAAUUGUAUUUCUGUAACUGUCAUUGGAAGCAGGAUCAAUAUGGGAUUUCUGCUGGCAUGGACAAGGAAAACAUCUGACCCAGUUGCACUAAAUUUUAAAUAGGAAGACUUUUGCAUUACGCUAUAUGUGAUAACGUUUAGAUUUUGUGAAGAGAAUGAGGGUGCCAGACUAAAGUAUAUCUAAAGAAGUGAGAAUAGCAAAUAUCCCUACAUGUGUUUGUAUGAUACUGGUUGCAAUAACUAACUCUUCAGGAAAAGUAAGUUGUAUAGGAUUGCAGGAAAUAAAUCAGUCAGGUUUGUCUGAGAAACACUUAAGGAGUUAGUUUGUCCUUCCCAUGUAUUGGAAUCCUAUUUAUUUUAUAUUUCUCCUCCAGUGAACUCAUCUUCUAUCAUACAUAUGCCUGCAAUAUGUGUUUUAGAAGGAAUUUGACUCUAACCCAAAUAUUUAGUCUGAUUUAAGCAAGUCCAAUUCACUGCAUAUCAUUACCUCUGUUUUUGCUUCUGCCAUGAGUACUGUAGCUGUCCAGCAUCAGGCAUCCAGCUGAGAGUGCUGGUAUCCAGCUGUUCAGGGAAGUCCUGCAUCAGGAGCAAAAUGAGGCACCUCUAAGACAUCUAUGAGAUAUGUGUUUGUGGAAAAGUAACAUAUUUUAUUCUCCCUCACUUCUCAGAAACUUUGCCAUUGAAGACAAAACUUCACUACACUUAAGUAAGCAAUCUUGUAAAUUUAAAACGAAUUAUAGCUGAAAUUUAUACUGCUUUUUGACCUUGUUAUUCUUUAUAUGUUAGGGAAAAAAAAGACAUUGGACUGCAGAACUCUGGAAUUAUUUGUAAUGUCAUUUGUGCUCUAAUGGCACUACUGUAAAACGUCAUAAAUAAACAGGCAUUCCUAAA
Non-coding RNA from Coturnix japonica (Japanese quail), 2088 nucleotides. The record is from RefSeq and is a predicted model, not a curated record. NCBI's taxonomy places the organism in Eukaryota, Metazoa, Chordata, Aves, Galliformes, Phasianidae.